Sesamum indicum (sesame) is the source of this 195-nucleotide non-coding RNA. NCBI's taxonomy places the organism in Eukaryota, Viridiplantae, Streptophyta, Magnoliopsida, Lamiales, Pedaliaceae. The record is from RefSeq and is a predicted model, not a curated record.
CGGAGCGACCUAAGCGAAGGGGAAGAGGACGAUAGGAAGCUCAAGGAGAGAGCUGGCGCAUUGGACGAUGGUUUUAGGGCCUUAGAAGAGGUGGUGGCGGUGGUGGUGGAGAAAGAGGUGGGCGCAGCCGCCGCCAUUGCACUUGGGCUUUUCGAGUUCGUAAAGGAGAUCUGAAAAUGUGUAAGAGAGAGAGCU